GUAAGUUUAUAGAUAAUCACAAACUGCCUUGAAGUUUUCAUGACAGUUUGAGAGCACGAUAAUUGUCCGAUAUUUUUCAAAUAUAAAAAAUUAUAAUGAAUUCAUUUGCGCCACAAUUAUAUGCGGUCAUGCUUCUUCUGCGCAAAUGCUUCUCGUAUGUCACUUCAUUUUGAAAACAAUAGUUUUUUUUUUGAGCCAAUUAAACAAAGAUACAGG
RNAcentral lists this long non-coding RNA (216 nucleotides) under Mytilus galloprovincialis (Mediterranean mussel). Lineage: Eukaryota; Metazoa; Mollusca; Bivalvia; Mytilida; Mytilidae. The record is from RNAcentral.